RNAcentral lists this unclassified non-coding RNA (376 nucleotides) under soil metagenome. RNAcentral describes it as "partial contains 5.8S ribosomal RNA, internal transcribed spacer 2, and large subunit ribosomal RNA". The stretch from base 1 to 120 matches the Rfam family "5.8S ribosomal RNA", at positions 35 to 154 of the family's 154-position model. The record is from RNAcentral.
GAUGAAGAACGUAGUGAAAUGCGAUAAGUAAUGUGAAUUGCAGAAUUCAGUGAAUCAUCGAAUCUUUGAACGCAUCUUGCGCUCCUUGGUAUUCUGAGGAGCAUGCCUGUUUGAGUGUCAUUAAAUUCUCAACUACACUGACUUUGAAUUGGUGUGGCUUGGAUUUGGGGGGAAAAUUGUUGUGGGCUUUUUGUAUAGUCUGCUCCCCUGAAAUUGAUUAGCGGUACCUUUGUGGAACUGUCUACAGGUGUGAUAAUUAUCUACAUCUUAGACAUCUGCUGGAAUGCUGCUCUCUAAACCUUACUUGUAUUGACAAUCUUGACCUCAAAUAAGGUAGGACUACCCGCUGAACUUAAGCAUAUCAAUAAGCGGAGGA